AUUGAACGCUGGCGGCAGGCUUAACACAUGCAAGUCGAGCGGGGUGAUGGUGCUUGCACUAUCACUUAGCGGCGGACGGGUGAGUAAUGCUUAGGAAUCUGCCUAUUAGUGGGGGACAACAUCUCGAAAGGGAUGCUAAUACCGCAUACGUCCUACGGGAGAAAGCAGGGGAUCACUUGUGACCUUGCGCUAAUAGAUGAGCCUAAGUCGGAUUAGCUAGUUGGUGGGGUAAAGGCCUACCAAGGCGACGAUCCGUAGCGGGUCUGAGAGGAUGAUCCGCCACACUGGGACUGGGACACGGCCCAGACUCCUACGGGAGGCAGCAGUGGGGAAUAUUGGACAAUGGGGGGAACCCUGAUCCAGCCAUGCCGCGUGUGAAGAAGGCCUUAUGGUUGUAAAGCACUUUAAGCGAGGAGGAGGCUCUUUUGGUUAAUACCCAAGAUGAGUGGACGUUACUCGCAGAAUAAGCACCGGCUAACUCUGUGCCAGCAGCCGCCGUAA
This 501-nucleotide ribosomal RNA is filed under the name uncultured bacterium. RNAcentral's name for it is "partial 16S ribosomal RNA". It matches the Rfam family "Bacterial small subunit ribosomal RNA", at positions 30 to 523 of the family's 1533-position model. The record is from RNAcentral.